RNAcentral lists this small RNA (544 nucleotides) under Oryza sativa Japonica Group (Japanese rice). RNAcentral's name for it is "misc RNA GPAT". Lineage: Eukaryota; Viridiplantae; Streptophyta; Magnoliopsida; Poales; Poaceae. The record is from RNAcentral.
GUAUAUACUACUACGUGAUUAAUAAAUACAUGUACAUGUAUAUUUACAUCUUACGAAAUGAGCGUAGCUCAACUAGUUAGGGGCUGCUGAUGGAUGGCUUGCCACGCGCCUAGCACGGUCACCUCACCUCCUUACAUCCCCUGUACGUUUGUACAUACUUUUGCAGUGGUAGAGCUAACUCAAGGGCAGGUCGGGCGGUCGCUUAGGCUCUGUCGCUGGCGUCUCGGCUGUAGAUAGCAUUUGAUGUCCCAAAAAAUUAGUUGAUUACUGAAAAACGCUAAUACUUGUCUGGGCUUCAUGGCAUCUUUGCUCCACCACUGUACUUUUGUAUACACACGUAUAAACUGUGUACAUGUAUAUAUACCAAGUUUAUACAUGUAUAUAUACUAAAUUUAUAUGUAUGUAUACAAAGUAUAAACUUCACAUAUACAUCUACAAAUUUUCUAUAUUUAGAAAAAUUGUGUGUAUACUUUUUAGAUGUAUAAAAAAUACACAUACGCAUAUAAACUUUAUACUUCUAUGUACAAAUUAUGCGUGUAUGUAU